UUCUGUAAGCCGUUGAAGGUGUGUUGUAAAGCAUGCUGGAGGUAUCAGAAGUGCGAAUGCUGACAUGAGUAACGACAAGGGGGGUGAAAAACCUCCCCGCCGGAAGACCAAGGGUUCCUGUCCAACGUUAAUCGGGGCAGGGUAAGUCGACCCCUAAGGCGAGGCUGAAAAGCGUAGUCGAUGGGAAACGGGUUAAUAUUCCCGUACUUCUUACAAUUGCGAUGGGGGGACGGAGAAGGCUAGGUGGGCCUGGCGACGGUUGUCCAGGUUCAAGUGCGUAGGCUGAGUGUUUAGGUAAAUCCGGACACUCUUAAGGCUGAGACACGACGUCGAGCUACUACGGUAGUGAAGUCAUUGAUGCCAUGCUUCCAGGAAAAGCCUCUAAGCUUCAGAUUGUAAGGAAUCGUACCCCAAACCGACACAGGUGGUCGGGUAGAGAAUACCAAGGCGCUUGAGAGAACUCGGGUGAAGGAACUAGGCAAAAUGGUACCGUAACUUCGGGAGAAGGUACGCUCUUGAUGGUGAAGUCCCUUGCGGAUGGAGCUGACGAGAGUCGCAGAUACCAGGUGGCUGCAACUGUUUAUUAAAAACACAGCACUGUGCAAAAUCGUAAGAUGACGUAUACGGUGUGACGCCUGCCCGGUGCCGGAAGGUUAAUUGAUGGGGUUAGCGCAAGCGAAGCUCUUGAUCGAAGCCCCGGUAAACGGCGGCCGUAACUAUAACGGUCCUAAGGUAGCGAAAUUCCUUGUCGGGUAAGUUCCGACCUGCACGAAUGGCGUAAUGAUGGCCACGCUGUCUCCACCCGAGACUCAGUGAAAUUGAAAUCGCUGUGAAGAUGCAGUGUACCCGCGGCUAGACGGAAAGACCCCGUGAACCUUUACUACAGCUUGGCACUGAACAUUGAACCUACAUGUGUAGGAUAGGUGGGAGGCUUUGAAGACGUGACGCCAGUUGCGUUGGAGCCGUCCUUGAAAUACCACCCUUGUAUGUUUGAUGUUCUAACGUUGGCCCCUAAUCGGGGUUGCGGACAGUGCCUGGUGGGUAGUUUGACUGGGGCGGUCUCCUCCCAAAGAGUAACGGAGGAGCACGAAGGUGGGCUAAUCACGGUUGGACAUCGUGAGGUUAGUGCAAUGGCAUAAGCCCGCUUAACUGCGAGAAUGACGGUUCGAGCAGGUGCGAAAGCAGGUCAUAGUGAUCCGGUGGUUCUGAAUGGAAGGGCCAUCGCUCAACGGAUAAAAGGUACUCCGGGGAUAACAGGCUGAUACCGCCCAAGAGUUCAUAUCGACGGCGGUGUUUGGCACCUCGAUGUCGGCUCAUCACAUCCUGGGGCUGAAGUCGGUCCCAAGGGUAUGGCUGUUCGCCAUUUAAAGUGGUACGCGAGCUGGGUUUAGAACGUCGUGAGACAGUUCGGUCCCUAUCUGCCGUGGGCGUUGGAAGAUUGAAGGGGGCUGCUCCUAGUACGAGAGGACCGGAGUGGACGAACCUCUGGUGUUCGGGUUGUGUCGCCAGACGCAUUGCCCGGUAGCUAAGUUCGGAAUCGAUAACCGCUGAAAGCAUCUAAGCGGGAAGCGAGCCCUGAGAUGAGUCUUCCCUGAUACUUUAAGUAUCCUAAAGGGUUGUUCGAGACUAGAACGUUGAUAGGCAGGGUGUGUAAGCGCUGUGAGGCGUUGAGCUAACCUGUACUAAUUGCCCGUGAGGCUUAACCAUACAACACCCAAAGGGUUUUG
RNAcentral lists this ribosomal RNA (1727 nucleotides) under Vibrio vulnificus. RNAcentral's name for it is "partial 23S ribosomal RNA". It matches the Rfam family "Bacterial large subunit ribosomal RNA", at positions 1239 to 2925 of the family's 2925-position model. The record is from RNAcentral. Lineage: Bacteria; Pseudomonadati; Pseudomonadota; Gammaproteobacteria; Vibrionales; Vibrionaceae.